UGGUUGGGGAUGGACUCGCGGCCUAUCAGGUAGUUGGUGAGGUAAUGGCUCACCAAGCCGACGACGGGUAGCCGGCCUGAGAGGGUGACCGGCCACACUGGGACUGAGACACGGCCCAGACUCCUACGGGAGGCAGCAGUGGGGAAUAUUGCACAAUGGGCGCAAGCCUGAUGCAGCAACGCCGCGUGAGGGAUGACGGCCUUCGGGUUGUAAACCUCUUUUAGUAGGGAAGAAGCGAAAGUGACGGUACCUGCAGAAAAAGCACCGGCUAACUACGUGCCAGCAGCCGCGGUAAUACGUAGGGUGCAAGCGUUGUCCGGAAUUAUUGGGCGUAAAGAGCUCGUAGGCGGUUUGUCGCGUCUGCUGUGAAAUCCCGAGGCUCAACCUCGGGCUUGCAGUGGGUACGGGCAGACUAGAGUGCGGUAGGGGAGAUUGGAAUUCCUGGUGUAGCGGUGGAAUGCGCAGAUAUCAGGAGGAACACCGAUGGCGAAGGCAGAUCUCUGGGCCGUAACUGACGCUGAGGAGCGAAAGCGUGGGGAGCGAACAGGAUUAGAUACCCUGGUAGUCCACGCCGUAAACGUUGGGCGCUAGAUGUAGGGACCUUUCCACGGUUUCUGUGUCGUAGCU
Molecule: ribosomal RNA, 627 nt
Filed under: Curtobacterium sp.
Lineage: Bacteria; Bacillati; Actinomycetota; Actinomycetes; Micrococcales; Microbacteriaceae
Description: bacterial SSU rRNA
Rfam family: Bacterial small subunit ribosomal RNA
Source: RNAcentral